This 495-nucleotide ribosomal RNA is filed under the name uncultured bacterium. RNAcentral describes it as "partial 16S ribosomal RNA". It matches the Rfam family "Bacterial small subunit ribosomal RNA", at positions 28 to 507 of the family's 1533-position model. The record is from RNAcentral.
GACGAACGCUGGCGGCGUGCCUAAUACAUGCAAGUAGAACGCUGAAGGAGGAGCUUGCUUCUCUGGAUGAGUUGCGAACGGGUGAGUAACGCGUAGGUAACCUGCCUGGUAGCGGGGGAUAACUAUUGGAAACGAUAGCUAAUACCGCAUAAUAGCAGUUGUUGCAUGACAACUGUUUGAAAGGUGCAAUUGCACCACUACCAGAUGGACCUGCGUUGUAUUAGCUAGUUGGUGGGGUAACGGCUCACCAAGGCUACGAUACAUAGCCGACCUGAGAGGGUGAUCGGCCACACUGGGACUGAGACACGGCCCAGACUCCUACGGGAGGAAGCAGUAGGGAAUCUUCGGCAAUGGACGGAAGUCUGACCGAGCAACGCCGCGUGAGUGAAGAAGGUUUUCGGAUCGUAAAGCUCUGUUGUAAGAGAAGAAAGAGUGUGAGAGUGGAAAGUCCACACUGUGACGGUAUCUUACCAGAAAGGGACGGCUAACUACGUG